AGUGAACGCUGGCGGUAGGCCUAACACAUGCAAGUCGAACGGCAGCACAGUAAGAGCUUGCUCUUACGGGUGGCGAGUGGCGGACGGGUGAGGAAUACAUCGGAAUCUACUUUUUCGUGGGGGAUAACGUAGGGAAACUUACGCUAAUACCGCAUACGACCUACGGGUGAAAGCAUCGGCUCUUCGGACCUUGCGCGAUUGAAUGAGCCGAUGUCGGAUUAGCUAGUUGGCGGGGUAAAGGCCCACCAAGGCGACGAUCCGUAGCUGGUCUGAGAGGAUGAUCAGCCACACUGGAACUGAGACACGGUCCAGACUCCGACGGUAGGCAGCAGUGGGGAAUAUUGGACGAUGGGCGCGAGCGUGAUCCAGCCAUACCGCGGGGGUGAAGAAGGCCUUCGGGUUGGAAAGCCCUGUUGUUGGGAAAGAAAAGCAGCAGGUUAAUACCCCGCUGUUCUGACGGUACCCAAAGAAUAAGCACCGGCUAACUUCGUG
RNAcentral lists this ribosomal RNA (492 nucleotides) under uncultured bacterium. RNAcentral describes it as "partial 16S ribosomal RNA". It matches the Rfam family "Bacterial small subunit ribosomal RNA", at positions 29 to 507 of the family's 1533-position model. The record is from RNAcentral.